UAUACUGUUUUCCUGACAGAAUCUACAUUGAAUUUUUUAGUUUUUUGUGAAAUAAAAUUCCAAAACCUUAAAGGACAAACAGCUUUUUGAGAUUCCUACAUUGCCUACAAGGGACCACAUACAACAAAGCCUACUAAGGCCAUUUCUCAUCUCUUUUUUCCAUUCAAGACUGAAAAGGAAAAUGAGACCCAGAAGAGUUUGUCCUGAAAAGGAAGCUUUGAAAUUCAUCGCAUCUGGGAAAGAUAAAGACACAUUUCAGUCAAGAGUCAAGAGAAAGAUUGUUGAUGAACAGAAAAGAGCAGAUUUGUGUGCAUUUGUGACCACAAACAUCACUACAGGAGAAGAAAUGAUGUUGGACUGCAGA
Long non-coding RNA from Carassius auratus (goldfish), 364 nucleotides. RefSeq lists it as uncharacterized. The record is from RefSeq and is a predicted model, not a curated record. NCBI's taxonomy places the organism in Eukaryota, Metazoa, Chordata, Actinopteri, Cypriniformes, Cyprinidae. The transcript has 3 exons.